Molecule: ribosomal RNA, 198 nt
Filed under: Casearia sylvestris
Lineage: Eukaryota; Viridiplantae; Streptophyta; Magnoliopsida; Malpighiales; Salicaceae
Source: RNAcentral
UUUUCCCAUCGCAGGCCGGGGGGCGCCAGCGCCCCGGCCAGCCCGCCCGCGGGGAGCGGCCCCGCAGGGUCCCUCCCCUCGGCGCACGAACAAAACCCCGGCGCGGGACGCGCCAAGGACCAUGAGAACAAAGAGCGCGCCCCGUCGGCCCCGGGAACGGGGCGCGGGGGGGCGUCUUCUUUCGCUAUGAGCCAAAAA